CCAAUAGCGUAUAUUAAAGUUGUUGCAGUUAAAAAGCUCGUAGUUGAAUUUCGGGAUCAAGUCGUCGGUCGUGCUUAGGUACGUACUGGUGUCAUUGAUUUCUCCCUUCUGACGAACCAUGAUGUCAUUAAUUUGGUGUUAUGGGAAAUCAGGACUGUUACUUUGAAAAAAUUAGAGUGUUUAAAGCAGGCUCACGCUUGAAUACAUUAGCAUGGAAUAAUGAAAUAGGACGUUCGAUCCUAUUUUGUUGGUUUUAGGAUCAACGUAAUGAUUAAUAGGGGUAGUUGGGGGCAUUAGUAUUCAAUUGUCAGAGGUGAAAUUCUUGGAUUUAUUGAAGACUAACUACUGCGAAAGCAUUUGCCAAGGAUGUUUUCAUUAAUCAAGAACGAAAGUUAGGGGAUCGAAGACGAUCAGAUACCGUCGUAGUCUUAACCAUAAACUAUGCCGACUAGGGAUCGGAUGAUGUUAAUUUUUUAAUGACUCAUUCGGCGCCUUACG
This 498-nucleotide ribosomal RNA is filed under the name uncultured Glomeromycotina. RNAcentral's name for it is "partial small subunit ribosomal RNA". It matches the Rfam family "Eukaryotic small subunit ribosomal RNA", at positions 591 to 1092 of the family's 1831-position model. The record is from RNAcentral. Lineage: Eukaryota; Fungi; Glomeromycota.